This is a non-coding RNA of Anas platyrhynchos (mallard), 276 nucleotides long. NCBI's taxonomy places the organism in Eukaryota, Metazoa, Chordata, Aves, Anseriformes, Anatidae. The record is from RefSeq and is a predicted model, not a curated record.
CUCGCCGGAGGACGGCGGCACCGUCUGCGCCGUCUCCAUCCUCCCCGAAAGCCCCCCGCAGGGUGGGCUGCUGGCUUGCCACGUGGGGCCCAACAGCACCGCUCCGGCACGCAGCUCCAGCCCCAUCCCCGUCACAGGAAGGGGUUUGUGGCCGGCCCCAAUGUGCACCUGCAGCCACCUCCCCAGCUGCUCCCCGUCCCGCAGGCAGAGGUGAGGAGGCAGAGCUGUGCCCCAGCACCGUGAUCGGGCCUCGUGCCUGUGGCUCCGCCGCCCUGC